GUGCCAGCAGCCGCGGUAAUACGAACCGUCCAAACGUUAUUCGGAAUCACUGGGCUUAAAGAGUCCGUAGGCGGCCAAUUAGGUGAGGUGUGAAAUCCCCCGGCUUAACCGAGGAAUUGCGCUUCAAACCGACUGGCUAGAGGAAGAUAGAGGAAAGCGGAACUGAUGGUGGAGCGGUGAAAUGCGUUGAUAUCAUCAGGAACACCGGUGGCGAAAGCGGCUUUCUGGGUCUUUUCUGACGCUGAGGGACGAAAGCUAGGGGAGCGAACGGGAUUAGAAACCCUUGUAGUCC
This 292-nucleotide ribosomal RNA is filed under the name uncultured bacterium. RNAcentral's name for it is "partial 16S ribosomal RNA". It matches the Rfam family "Bacterial small subunit ribosomal RNA", at positions 505 to 796 of the family's 1533-position model. The record is from RNAcentral.